Molecule: ribosomal RNA, 465 nt
Filed under: uncultured bacterium
Lineage: Bacteria
Description: partial 16S ribosomal RNA
Rfam family: Bacterial small subunit ribosomal RNA
Source: RNAcentral
CUACGGGAGGCAGCAGUGGGGAAUAUUGGACAAUGGGGGAAACCCUGAUCCAGCAAUGCCGCGUGUGUGAAGAAGGCCUGCGGGUUGUAAAGCACUUUCGGUUGGGAGGACUGCUUCUAGCACUAAUAUUGUUGGAAGUUGACGUUACCUUCAGAAGAAGCACCGCCUAACUCCGUGCCAGCAGCCGCGGUAAUACGGAGGGUGCAAGCGUUAAUCGGAAUUACUGGGCGUAAAGCGCGCGUAGGCGGCUAGAUCAGUCGGGUGUGAAAGCCCCGGGCUUAACCUGGGAACUGCAUCCGAUACUGUCUAGCUUGAGUACAGGAGAGGGGAGUGGAAUUCCACAUGUAGCGGUGAGAUGCGUAGAUAUGUGGAGGAACACCAAUGGCGAAGGCAGCUCUCUGGCCUGAUACUGACGCUGAGGUGCGAAAGCGUAGGGAGCAAACAGGAUUAGAUACCCCGGUAGUC